CGUCAGCUCGUGUCGUGAGAUGUUGGGUUAAGUCCCGCAACGAGCGCAACCCUUGCCUUUAGUUGCCAGCAGUUCGGCUGGGCACUCUAAAGGGACUGCCGGUGUUAAACCGGAGGAAGGUGGGGAUGACGUCAAGUCCUCAUGGCCUUUAUGACCAGGGCUACACACGUACUACAAUGGCCGAUACAAAGGGCAGCGACACUGCGAGGUGAAGCCAAUCCCGUAAAAAUCGGUCUCAGUCCGGAUUGGAGUCUGCAACUCGACUCCAUGAAGUUGGAAUCGCUAGUAAUCGUGGAUCAGCAUGCCACGGUGAAUACGUUCCCGGGCCUU
RNAcentral lists this ribosomal RNA (330 nucleotides) under uncultured Desulfobulbus sp. RNAcentral describes it as "bacterial SSU rRNA". It matches the Rfam family "Bacterial small subunit ribosomal RNA", at positions 1053 to 1382 of the family's 1533-position model. The record is from RNAcentral. Lineage: Bacteria; Pseudomonadati; Thermodesulfobacteriota; Desulfobulbia; Desulfobulbales; Desulfobulbaceae.